UACGUAGGGGGCAAGCGUUGUCCGGAAUUAUUGGGCGUAAAGCGCGCGCAGGCGGCUUCUUAAGUCUGAUGUGAAAGCCCACGGCUCAACCGUGGAGGGUCAUUGGAAACUGGGAAGCUUGAGUGCAGAAGAGGAGAGUGGAAUUCCACGUGUAGCGGUGAAAUGCGUAGAGAUGUGGAGGAACACCAGUGGCGAAAGCGGCUCUCUGGUCUGUAACUGACGCUGAGGCGCGAAAGCGUGGGGAGCAAACAGG
This 253-nucleotide ribosomal RNA is filed under the name uncultured bacterium. RNAcentral describes it as "partial 16S ribosomal RNA". It matches the Rfam family "Bacterial small subunit ribosomal RNA", at positions 524 to 776 of the family's 1533-position model. The record is from RNAcentral.